This 144-nucleotide unclassified non-coding RNA is filed under the name uncultured Helotiales. Its description in RNAcentral is "sequence contains ITS2". The record is from RNAcentral. Lineage: Eukaryota; Fungi; Ascomycota; Leotiomycetes; Helotiales.
CACCCUCAAGCCCUGCUUGGUGUUGGGCCCUGGCCGUGGCGGCCGGCCCCAAGGACAGUGGCGGCACCGCUGGGACCCGAGCGCAGCACGAAGACCCUCGCUCCGGGGCCCCGCGGCAGCCUGCCAGAACCCUCCAACCCCUUU